GCCUCCUGCCGACGCCGGCACAGACCCCGGUGACGGAAGUGACGUAAGGCCGAGGCUGGAGGGCCGCGCUGGGCUGGGCCCACAGGCGCUCGGGGUUGGACCCAGCGACCGUCGGCAGCAGCAUGGCUCUCCUCUUUCUCCUACCCCUUGUCAUGCAGGGUGUGAGCAGGGCUGAGAUGGGCACCGCGGAUCUGGGGCCGUCCUCAGUGCCUACACCAACUAAUGUUACAAUUGAAUCCUAUAACAUGAACCCUAUCGUAUAUUGGGAGUACCAGAUCAUGCCACAGGUCCCUGUUUUUACCGUAGAGGUAAAGAACUAUGGGUGAGUGUCACUCUUUUAUUUAUCCCUUUUAUUCCAUUUUUGUUUAGGUCCUUGGAAAUUCCACAACUGUGUUCUUUCAUCAGCCUUCCCACGUGGCAAAACAUUCUAAACUGCUUAUAGAGGUCCAAAAGUACUAAAGAUGCAAAUUCUUUGCCAAAUAUUUCUUGCCUCUUAUUUCCUCUUCCUUAUCAGUAUUGAAAUAGAGAAGUGUCACUAAACUUCUGAGAUUAGCAUGACAAAUAAAGCUAAUAGUUACUAUGUCAUCUUCCUAUAGUGUAUUUUUAGUAGAACAAUAUAAAUUUCAAAAAACUUUUUUGACAA
This 643-nucleotide small RNA is filed under the name Pan troglodytes (chimpanzee). Its description in RNAcentral is "processed transcript". The record is from RNAcentral. Lineage: Eukaryota; Metazoa; Chordata; Mammalia; Primates; Hominidae.